This 688-nucleotide unclassified non-coding RNA is filed under the name Hevea brasiliensis (rubber tree). The record is from RNAcentral. Lineage: Eukaryota; Viridiplantae; Streptophyta; Magnoliopsida; Malpighiales; Euphorbiaceae.
ACCGUAGCCGCCGCCGCCGCCGCCGCCACUCCACUCCUCUCUCCGACCACCUCUUCCCUCCACACAAUUACCAGAAUACCCUUCAUCUCCGCCACACCAAAAUGCAACAGGCCAAUCACCAAGCUCCACGUGUCCUCCAACCCAGUCGCUUCAUCCUCCACCAGUACAUCCAAACCCAAUCAAGAAUCCAUCUUUUUCGACGGCGGAGCUCACUAUGGAGACCUCGCAGCUAAUCUCCUUCUGGGUUUUACUCUUCUUUGGCUUCCAUUAACCCUAGCUUCAGUAUUUAGGGCUUUUUACUUGAGGUACAGGUUUACCAAUUUGAGGGUUACUGUCAUUUCCGGGUUAACGGGUCAAGACCGGAGCGAUUUCUCGUAUAAAGUAAUCAAAGAUGUUCAGGUUGUUCCAAGAUUUAUUGGUGAAUGGGGUGAUGUGAUUAUUACAUUGAAAGAUGGUACUGUUGUCGAUUUGAGAAGUGUUCCAAAAUUUAGGGAAAUUGCUAAGUAUUGUCUUUCAAUGGUGGAUAAAGAGUCGUCUGGAGUUUCGAAGGAGGCUAAUACUACUGAUGGGCCUAAAGGCUUUUGAGAAACAUGUAUGGUUAGUGCUUUAUACUUUGUUUUGAUUUUCAUAUACUGUUGUCUCGAUAAUUAAUUUUAGUAGCUCAGUUGGUUGGCUACCUGACUCCUGA